RNAcentral lists this ribosomal RNA (856 nucleotides) under Pseudopeyronellaea eucalypti. RNAcentral's name for it is "partial 28S ribosomal RNA". It matches the Rfam family "Eukaryotic large subunit ribosomal RNA", at positions 66 to 940 of the family's 3401-position model. Lineage: Eukaryota; Fungi; Ascomycota; Dothideomycetes; Pleosporales; Didymellaceae. The record is from RNAcentral.
CAACAGGGAUUGCCCUAGUAACGGCGAGUGAAGCGGCAACAGCUCAAAUUUGAAAUCUGGCGUCUUUGGCGUCCGAGUUGUAAUUUGCAGAGGGCGCUUUGGCAUUGGCAGCGGUCCAAGUUCCUUGGAACAGGACGUCACAGAGGGUGAGAAUCCCGUACGUGGUCGCUAGCCUCUACCGUGUAAAGCCCCUUCGACGAGUCGAGUUGUUUGGGAAUGCAGCUCUAAAUGGGAGGUAAAUUUCUUCUAAAGCUAAAUACUGGCCAGAGACCGAUAGCGCACAAGUAGAGUGAUCGAAAGAUGAAAAGCACUUUGGAAAGAGAGUUAAAAAGCACGUGAAAUUGUUGAAAGGGAAGCGCUUGCAGCCAGACUUGCCUGUAGUUGCUCAUCCGGGUUUUUACCCGGUGCACUCUUCUAUAGGCAGGCCAGCAUCAGUUUGGGCGGUUGGAUAAAGGUCUCUGUCAUGUACCUCCUUUCGGGGAGAUCUUAUAGGGGAGACGACAUGCAACCAGCCCGGACUGAGGUCCGCGCAUCUGCUAGGAUGCUGGCGUAAUGGCUGUAAGCGGCCCGUCUUGAAACACGGACCAAGGAGUCUAACAUCUAUGCGAGUGUUUGGGUGUCAAGCCCGAACGCGUAAUGAAAGUGAACGGAGGUGGGAACCUUUCGGGGUGCACCAUCGACCGAUCCUGAUGUCUUCGGAUGGAUUUGAGUAAGAGCAUAGCUGUUGGGACCCGAAAGAUGGUGAACUAUGCUUGAAUAGGGUGAAGCCAGAGGAAACUCUGGUGGAGGCUCGCAGCGGUUCUGACGUGCAAAUCGAUCGUCAAAUUUGGGCAUAGGGGCGAAAGACUAAUCGAAC